AUUUAAAUUUGAAGUUCGGGUAAACAUGGAAGAAGUUUUUAGUAUUAGGUAGGUCCCAUGAUAAUAUUUGGGACAUACUUAUACUAAAAAAAAUUGUUGUUUAUCUGACAUUUGAAUUGAAC
Molecule: microRNA precursor, 122 nt
Filed under: Tursiops truncatus (common bottlenose dolphin)
Lineage: Eukaryota; Metazoa; Chordata; Mammalia; Artiodactyla; Delphinidae
Description: miRNA (ENSTTRG00000024687.1)
Source: RNAcentral